AACGAACGCUGGCGGCAUGCCUAACACAUGCAAGUCGAACGAGACCUUCGGGUCUAGUGGCGCACGGGUGCGUAACGCGUGGGAACCUGCCCUUAGGUUCGGAAUAACUCCCCGAAAGGGGUGCUAAUACCGGAUAAUGUCUUCGGACCAAAGAUUUAUCGCCUUUGGAUGGGCCCGCGUUGGAUUAGCUAGUUGGUAGGGUCAAAGCCUACCAAGGCGACGAUCCAUAGCUGGUCUGAGAGGAUGAUCAGCCACACUGGGACUGAGACACGGCCCAGACUCCUACGGGAGGCAGCAGUGGGGAAUAUUGGACAAUGGGCGAAAGCCUGAUCCAGCAAUGCCGCGUGAGUGAUGAAGGCCUUAGGGUUGUAAAGCUCUUUUACCCAGGAUGAUAAUGACAGUACCGGGAGAAUAAGCUCCGGCUAACUCCGUG
Molecule: ribosomal RNA, 433 nt
Filed under: uncultured bacterium
Lineage: Bacteria
Description: partial 16S ribosomal RNA
Rfam family: Bacterial small subunit ribosomal RNA
Source: RNAcentral